Molecule: small nucleolar RNA, 71 nt
Filed under: Sphenodon punctatus (tuatara)
Lineage: Eukaryota; Metazoa; Chordata; Lepidosauria; Sphenodontia; Sphenodontidae
Description: Small nucleolar RNA SNORD123 (ENSSPUG00000009202.1)
Rfam family: Small nucleolar RNA SNORD123
Source: Rfam by way of RNAcentral
GACGAAAAUGAUGAAUCUGGGGGUACUGAGAUUUCUGUCACCUGAGGAGGCGAUCCAUUUCCUGAUUCACC